AGGGUUCGAUUCUGACUCAGGAUGAACGCUAGCUACAGGCUUAACACAUGCAAGUCGAGGGGCAUCAGAUCGAAAGCUUGCUUUGAUGCUGGCGACCGGCGCACGGGUGAGUAACGCGUAUCCAACCUUCCCUAUAGUAGAGAAUAGCCCGGCGAAAGUCGGAUUAAUGCUCUAUGUUGUAUUUAGAGGACAUCUGAAGAAUACCAAAGGUUUACCGCUAUAGGAUGGGGAUGCGUCUGAUUAGGUAGUAGGCGGGGUAACGGCCCACCUAGCCGACGAUCAGUAGGGGUUCUGAGAGGAAGGUCCCCCACAUUGGAACUGAGACACGGUCCAAACUCCUACGGGAGGCAGCAGUGAGGAAUAUUGGUCAAUGGACGGAAGUCUGAACCAGCCAAGUAAGCGUGCAGGAUGACGGCCCUAUGGGUUGUAAACUGCUUUUAUAUAGGGAUAAAGUCGGGGACGUGUCCCCGUUUGUAGGUACUAUAUGAAUAAGGACCGGCUAAUUCCGUGCCAGCCGCGGC
RNAcentral lists this ribosomal RNA (521 nucleotides) under uncultured bacterium. RNAcentral's name for it is "bacterial SSU rRNA". It matches the Rfam family "Bacterial small subunit ribosomal RNA", at positions 8 to 518 of the family's 1533-position model. The record is from RNAcentral.